Molecule: ribosomal RNA, 253 nt
Filed under: uncultured bacterium
Lineage: Bacteria
Description: partial 16S ribosomal RNA
Rfam family: Bacterial small subunit ribosomal RNA
Source: RNAcentral
UACGUAGGGUCCGAGCGUUGUCCGGAAUUAUUGGGCGUAAAGGGCUCGUAGGCGGUCUGUUGCGUCGGGAGUGAAAACUUACAGCUUAACUGUGAGCGUGCUUUCGAUACGGGCAGACUUGAGGCAUUCAGGGGAGAACGGAAUUCCUGGUGUAGCGGUGAAAUGCGCAGAUAUCAGGAGGAACACCGGUGGCGAAGGCGGCUUUCUGGACAGUUACCGACGCUGAGGCACGAAAGCUAGGGGAGCAAACAGG